This 387-nucleotide long non-coding RNA is filed under the name Setaria viridis. Its description in RNAcentral is "long non-coding RNA (SVIR_LNC008079)". Lineage: Eukaryota; Viridiplantae; Streptophyta; Magnoliopsida; Poales; Poaceae. The record is from RNAcentral.
AAGAAUCAGGCUGAGGGUUAAUCUUGUAAUUUCACAUCUCUGUUACCUUUAAACCCAAAAGAAAAAGCUUUUUAGCCAAUGGGCACUGUUACACGACUAGUUUGGGUAUAAGAGUCAACCACUGGUCAACGUGACCAUUCGCCAAUAGUAACCUUCUCUCUUUCCAAAAAAAUUGGAAACUGUCAAGCAAUAACUUCGAGCUUUUAAAAAUAGAAUAUUCCUGUUAAUCUCGCUCCUGUUUUAACUAUGCCAUGGUUAUAAAUAAUGGAGGAAUUCAUGCUUUCCGUUUCACCCGAGCCAUUUGCCUUUACAUCUUCCACACUGUAGCUCUAGCGUCGGCACUUGCGCUCAUUGAGUUCGAGUGCCACCCUCCCCCACUGCUUAGCC